Molecule: ribosomal RNA, 257 nt
Filed under: uncultured Glomeromycotina
Lineage: Eukaryota; Fungi; Glomeromycota
Description: partial 18S ribosomal RNA
Rfam family: Eukaryotic small subunit ribosomal RNA
Source: RNAcentral
AAGCUCGUAGUUGAAUUUCGGGAUUAAUUUAUUGGUCAUGCAAUAGUACGUACUGGUAUUAUUGAUUCCUACCUUCUGACGAACCAUGAUGUCAUUAAUUUGGUGUCAUGGGGAAUCAGGACUGUUACUUUGAAAAAAUUAGAGUGUUUAAAGCAGGCUCACGCUUGAAUACAUUAGCAUGGAAUAACGAAGUAGGACGUUUGAUUCUAUUUUGUUGGUUUCUAGGAUCGACGUAAUGAUUAAUAGGGAUAGUUGGG